Molecule: long non-coding RNA, 588 nt
Filed under: Sinocyclocheilus anshuiensis
Lineage: Eukaryota; Metazoa; Chordata; Actinopteri; Cypriniformes; Cyprinidae
Description: lncRNA (ENSSANG00000001943.1)
Source: RNAcentral
GGUCCUUGGGGAAGACCUAGGCAUAAGAGUGAAUUCCCCAAGUGGAGUAAAAGGAACGCGCUGGCUACCACAUGUGUCUAGAUCUUUGGAGACACUGUUAAAACUGGAGAGAGAGGAGGUUAUCUUCAGGACCCAGGACAGUUUACUGCAGUCUAUGUGCACAUGGACCACUUGGCCAGUGCAUCAGCAAAUACAGACAUUGCUGGAAGGGCCAAAAAGAUCAAGAAGACUAUGGAGGAUGGAACUUUUGUAGCCUUCUGCCACUUUCUUGCUGAUGUUUUUUUCUGUGAUCAGUCAGUUUAGUUUACUUUUGCAAAGAAAUGAAGUCAUUCUACCCCAGGCUGUCAGUGGGGUUCAAAACCUCAUUGUGAACAUUGAAACAAUGGCAGUGAGACUCAAACCAGGAGGAAGACUCCAGCAACUUGUAACAGACAUGCAGCAGCAAGAAAUGGCACACAGUUCUACAAGUUUCAGAAGUACCAUUCUACAAGUUUCAGGAUGUCCCACUUUCGUAUUGUGAAGCCACAGUGCUGGCAGAAAAUGAGAGCAUCUACAUCAAAUCUCCACAACUGCAUCAGGGAGUAAAAG